Small nucleolar RNA from Apodemus sylvaticus (European woodmouse), 129 nucleotides. RefSeq annotates it as small nucleolar RNA SNORA17. The record is from RefSeq and is a predicted model, not a curated record. Lineage: Eukaryota; Metazoa; Chordata; Mammalia; Rodentia; Muridae. The transcript has a single exon.
GCUGCCCCUAGAGGCAUCGCAGGUGUGGCUGCUGUGUCACGUGUGCAUCUGUAGGUGGCAGAGAGGAGAGCGCUGUGUCUGUGCUCAGUGAUCACCUAUGAACAUCUGAACGAUUAGUACCUUUGUUUU